Molecule: transfer RNA, 122 nt
Filed under: Novacetimonas pomaceti
Lineage: Bacteria; Pseudomonadati; Pseudomonadota; Alphaproteobacteria; Acetobacterales; Acetobacteraceae
Description: tRNA-OTHER
Rfam family: tRNA
About the family: Transfer RNA (tRNA) molecules are approximately 80 nucleotides in length. Their secondary structure includes four short double-helical elements and three loops (D, anti-codon, and T loops).
Source: RNAcentral
GCAUCUGUGGCGAAAAGGUAGACGCACCCCCUUGCCUAAACCCCUGUCCAGUUUGGCUGACAGAGGCUUAACAAGGGGGCGGGAGAAAUCCCAUGCGGGUUCAAGUCCCGUCAGAUGCACCA